Molecule: ribosomal RNA, 156 nt
Filed under: Ophiocordyceps sinensis
Lineage: Eukaryota; Fungi; Ascomycota; Sordariomycetes; Hypocreales; Ophiocordycipitaceae
Description: 5.8S ribosomal RNA
Rfam family: 5.8S ribosomal RNA
About the family: 5.8S ribosomal RNA (5.8S rRNA) is a component of the large subunit of the eukaryotic ribosome. It is transcribed by RNA polymerase I as part of the 45S precursor that also contains 18S and 28S rRNA.
Source: RNAcentral
AACUUUCAACAACGGAUCUCUUGGUUCUGGCAUCGAUGAAGAACGCAGCGAAAUGCGAUAAGUAAUGUGAAUUGCAGAAUUCAGUGAACCAUCGAAUCUUUGAACGCACAUUGUGCCCGCCAGCACUCUGGCGGGCAUGCCUGUCCGAGCGUCAUC